CGGAAUAGAGCUGGUAUAAAGAGCGGUUCAUUUACACUGAAUAGGAGAUUAAGAAAUAUAUUCUGA
Molecule: transfer RNA, 66 nt
Filed under: Phrynus sp. 1 SEM-2008
Lineage: Eukaryota; Metazoa; Arthropoda; Arachnida; Amblypygi; Phrynidae
Description: tRNA-Val
Source: RNAcentral